Long non-coding RNA from Homo sapiens (human), 342 nucleotides. Ensembl annotates it as glucosylceramidase beta 1 like, pseudogene. Its record names the gene GBA1LP. The record is from Ensembl. NCBI's taxonomy places the organism in Eukaryota, Metazoa, Chordata, Mammalia, Primates, Hominidae.
UCUCUUUUCCAAGUGAGGCCCCGCCCCGCCUCCCCAGGGCUGCUUUUCUCGCGGCACGGGUGGUGGGGCUGCUUCUUGACUUCCGCGCCUAGUGCGCAGGGCCCCAUUCUCCAGUCCCGCCCACGCGCCUUUGGAGGCUGCGGUGGGAUUUCCUUUUGCCUUCGGUUGGGGCUGCUGUUUCUCUUCGCCGACGGUAGGCAUUAUAAAUAUUUCGCCCUUUGAAUUUUAGCUCUCCCCUCCCGGCGUUCGCACUUAGCCUUUUUCAUCAUUAUCAUUAUUUUUAAUGGUAAGGAUGGUCAAAUUUUACUAAUGAAGCGAUUAUAAAAUCUUCAAGUCUUUGUA